Non-coding RNA from Podarcis lilfordi (Lilford's wall lizard), 67 nucleotides. The record is from the annotation of a GenBank genome assembly. NCBI's taxonomy places the organism in Eukaryota, Metazoa, Chordata, Lepidosauria, Squamata, Lacertidae.
ACAGCUCAGUUGGUUGGAGCAUGGUGCUGAUAAUGCCAAGGCUGCAGGUGCAAUCCUGUGAGAAGCG